RNAcentral lists this unclassified non-coding RNA (242 nucleotides) under uncultured fungus. RNAcentral describes it as "sequence contains 5.8S rRNA gene". The stretch from base 1 to 53 matches the Rfam family "5.8S ribosomal RNA", at positions 102 to 154 of the family's 154-position model. The record is from RNAcentral. Lineage: Eukaryota; Fungi.
GAACGCACAUUGCGCCCGCCAGUAUUCUGGCGGGCAUGCCUGUUCGAGCGUCAUUGCAACCCUCAGGCCCUGCCUGGCGUUGGAGGACUGCGCUGCAGCCUCCCAAAGCAAGCGGCGGCGGCGCCCCAAAACCGAACGCAGUAAUUUUUUCUCGUUCAGGGUGUGGGACGUUGUCCGGCCGGAAAACCCCCUUCUUUUAGUGGUUGACCUCGAAUCAGGUAGGAAUACCCGCUGAACUUAAG